UCCAUUUAACAACGUGUCGACGUCGGAGCGAAUCGAUGGGAGCUUGCUCCCUGAGAUUAGCGGCGGACGGGUGAGUAACACGUGGGCAACCUGCCUAUAAGACUGGGAUAACUUCGGGAAACCGGAGCUAAUACCGGAUACGUUCUUUUCUCGCAUGAGAGAAGAUGGAAAGACGGUUUACGCUGUCACUUAUAGAUGGGCCCGCGGCGCAUUAGCUAGUUGGUGAGGUAAUGGCUCACCAAGGCGACGAUGCGUAGCCGACCUGAGAGGGUGAUCGGCCACACUGGGACUGAGACACGGCCCAGACUCCUACGGGAGGCAGCAGUAGGGAAUCUUCCGCAAUGGACGAAAGUCUGACGGAGCAACGCCGCGUGAACGAAGAAGGCCUUCGGGUCGUAAAGUUCUGUUGUUAGGGAAGAACAAGUACCAGAGUAACUGCUGGUACCUUGACGGUACCUAACCAGAAAGCCACGGCUAACUACGUGCCAGCAGCCGCGGUAAUACGUAGGUGGCAAGCGUUGUCCAGAAUUAUUGGGCGUAAGCGCGCGCAGGUGGUUCCUUAAGUCUGAUGUGAAACCCGCGGAUCAACCGUGGAGCAUCAUUGAAACUGGGAAACUUGAGUGCAGAGAGAAGGUGGACUUCGAGUGUAGCGUAAAAUGCGAGAGUGUGGAAAACACAGUGCAAGGCAUUUGGCUCUGAACUAACAGUGAGGCGAUAG
Molecule: ribosomal RNA, 718 nt
Filed under: uncultured bacterium
Lineage: Bacteria
Description: bacterial SSU rRNA
Rfam family: Bacterial small subunit ribosomal RNA
Source: RNAcentral